RNAcentral lists this long non-coding RNA (589 nucleotides) under Homo sapiens (human). Its description in RNAcentral is "HSALNT0009119". Lineage: Eukaryota; Metazoa; Chordata; Mammalia; Primates; Hominidae. The record is from RNAcentral.
UUAAUCAUUAGUUUGUAGCAAUUACUCUUUAUUCCAAUAUUAUAAUAAUCCUCACUCCAUAAUCAUACCCUAGGAAAAACCAGGCCAUACAGAGAUAGGAGCUGAGGAGACACAGUGAGAAGUGACCAGAAGACAAGAGUGCGAGCCUUCUGUUAUGCCCGGACAGGGCCACCAGAGGGCUCCUUGGUCUAGUGGUAAUGCCAGCGUCUGGGAGGACGCCCGUUGCCAGGCGGACCUUGGUCUAGCGGUAGCAUAAGUGUCAAGGGAAAACACCCGCUACUUAGCAGACCGGGAAAGGGAGUCUCCCUUUCCCCAGGGGAGUUUAGAGAAGACUCUACUCCUCCACCUCUUGUGGAGGGCCUGACAUUAGUCAGGCUCGUCCACAGUUAUCCGGAGGCCUAACAGUCUCACUGUGAUGCUGUGCUUCAGUGGUCACACUCCUAGUCUGCCUUCGUGUUCCAUCCUGUACACCUGGCUCUGCCUUCUAGAUAGCAGUAAUAAAUUAGUGAAAGUACUAAAAGUCUCUGAUAUGCAGAAAUAAUGGCAUAAGCUGUCCUUCUCUUUGUCUCCUCUCUCUCUCUGCCUCGGC